GCCGCUUGCCACAUCUCCCUCCUCAACCUUUUGAGAAUUGGGUUGAUUGUGGUUUGAUUGUGGGUUACUGGUUUGAGUUGCUUGGGGUGAUUCUGUGAAGGGUUCCUAUGCCCGGGUAUCGGCCCAAGAUCUUUUGUUACACUACUCCCUUGUGGCUUUCCUCAUAUACCACAAAGUAUAGGAUUCGACAUGGAUUAUGGAUUGACUGGACGGAGGAUCCCCUUUCCCAUUUUUCAUUUGGGUUCAUAUUGAAUUGUUGUAGGAGGUUGAGAAUCGAGAUUACGGUGAAAGGCCUGUUCCAGGCGUGUCCGCGGAUCUAAGCUCCGAAACCUGCUUUUCUUAAGUUCGGUGUCCGUCACUUGUCAAUAACCGACCUUGAGACCCUCGACAACCUACCAGAUGAUCAUCCUCGAGUUCUCUCUGGCGAAGUUUUGUCAGAAGACAGAGACCGUGGCGCAGCAUUGGUUCUAGCUCAAUUCACUAGUUCCGAAUCCCUCGUGAAGAUUGUAUCUUACCAUAACGAUGACCUUCCUCCAUUGCUUAGCGCUUUCCUUCAAUUCAAUUACUUGCCAGUUACCACUAUAGGAAAUUAUGUUCCUAGGGCCUAGGCUAGUGAGUUCGGUUCUGAAGGAAGAACGGUGCUCAUUGUCGCUUCAAAGAGAUCGACACUCGACCAAUGCCGUUUGCCUGUGGGGAUAAGGGUCUCUGUUUCCGCUGGCCGUUCUCAGCCUCAUCGCAUCAAGGCAUCUAAGGAGGACUGCAGCCUGCUCAAGUGUUAAAAUCAUUACAGUAUAACUGCCAGACCGUUUCGGUUGUGUUUCUCGACUGGAAUUCUCUUCGCAUC
Molecule: non-coding RNA, 844 nt
Organism: Punica granatum (pomegranate)
Lineage: Eukaryota; Viridiplantae; Streptophyta; Magnoliopsida; Myrtales; Lythraceae
Source: RefSeq, a predicted model, not a curated record